CUGCUUACUCAAACAGCAUAUGUACUAAAAAUGGAACAAAACAGAGAAGAUUAGCAGCACCCUGAAGAGGAAUGGCAUGGAAAUUCAUGAAACAUUCCAUAUUCUC
Molecule: small nuclear RNA, 106 nt
Filed under: Notamacropus eugenii (tammar wallaby)
Lineage: Eukaryota; Metazoa; Chordata; Mammalia; Diprotodontia; Macropodidae
Source: RNAcentral